UGCGUAAGUAAGUGACACUCGCAGAUGGGAUCUCUCAGCAGCUGACGCUUCAGAUAAAACCUGAUUGGCUCGCUGCUGCUUAAGCGACAAGCGCGAUGAGACACGGACGCUACAACAGUCACAGACCCGCCAGAUUAUCAACCUCUGUUUAGCGAAAACUUUUCAUAGGAUGGUUCGGCAUGUGAAGUUCUUGACAAUAUCUAAAAGACGCGGAUUACUGACAGCACUGUCAGCAUUUGGCAACUUUGCAGUUUCCUCCAAAUAGGAUGAAGACUCUUGGCCAUGCAAACAGAUGUUUCUUUUCCCAUCUGGAACAGAAGCGCAGUAGCAAGUCACACUUUUAACACCAUAAGGAAUCAUACAGAUGCCUAGUUUCCCUCUGGAUCUGGAUACAACACAAGGCAGUAAGCCUUUGCAGUAACAAGCUUUCUGAAGGACAAGAGUUGUGGCUCUUUCAAGAAUCAUAAAAAGGGCAUCAAAAAUUCAAGUUGAGAUGAACUGUGAUUCUUGGAAAAUACUCCCCAUGUGUCUUCCCAACUCUUGAACAUCGUAUCCCUAAGGUCAGGUGAC
Long non-coding RNA from Myxocyprinus asiaticus (Chinese sucker), 570 nucleotides. RefSeq lists it as uncharacterized. The record is from RefSeq and is a predicted model, not a curated record. NCBI's taxonomy places the organism in Eukaryota, Metazoa, Chordata, Actinopteri, Cypriniformes, Catostomidae. The transcript is spliced from 3 exons.